CCUACGGGAGGCAGCAGUGGGGGAUAUUGCACAAUGGGGGGAACCCUGAUGCAGCGACGCCGCGUGGGUGAAGGAGCGUUUCGGCGCGUAAAGCCCUAUCGGCAGGGACGAAGAUGACGGUACCUGACAAAGACGCCCCGGCUAACUACGUGCCAGCAGCCGCGGUAAUACGUAGGGGGCAAGCGUGAUCCGGAUGUACUGGGCGGAAAGGGGGCGCAGACGGCAGAGCAAGCAAGGAGUGAAGGCCCGGGGCCCAACCCCGGGACUGCUCAUGGAACUGCAUGGCUGGAGUGCAGGAGGGGGAGGGGGAAUUCCUAGUGUAGCAGUGAAAUGCGUAGAUAUUAGGAGGAACACCGGUGGCGAAGGCGGCCUGCUGGAACGCGACUGACGUUGAGGCCCGAAGGCGUGGGGAGCAAACAGGAUUAGAUACCCGGGUAGUC
This 440-nucleotide ribosomal RNA is filed under the name uncultured bacterium. RNAcentral's name for it is "partial 16S ribosomal RNA". It matches the Rfam family "Bacterial small subunit ribosomal RNA", at positions 338 to 795 of the family's 1533-position model. The record is from RNAcentral.